Myotis brandtii (Brandt's bat) is the source of this 75-nucleotide non-coding RNA. The record is from Rfam. Lineage: Eukaryota; Metazoa; Chordata; Mammalia; Chiroptera; Vespertilionidae.
GGCUGUUCUCCUGUGACACAUCCUGGAAUCAGGCUCCCUCCUCUCUGGUUCUGGGUGCAUCACCCAAGAACCUCA